UGGCUGUAAUACUUCCUAUUGCCAGCUCUGC
This 31-nucleotide non-coding RNA is filed under the name Mus musculus (house mouse). The record is from RNAcentral. Lineage: Eukaryota; Metazoa; Chordata; Mammalia; Rodentia; Muridae.